UCCCUGGUAGCUUAGACAGUAAAGAAACUGCCUGUAAUGUAGAAGACCUGGGUUCGAUCCCUGGCUUGGGAA
RNAcentral lists this transfer RNA (72 nucleotides) under Bos taurus (domestic cattle). It matches the Rfam family "tRNA". From Rfam's summary of the family: Transfer RNA (tRNA) molecules are approximately 80 nucleotides in length. Their secondary structure includes four short double-helical elements and three loops (D, anti-codon, and T loops). Further hydrogen bonds mediate the characteristic L-shaped molecular structure. tRNAs have two regions of fundamental functional importance: the anti-codon, which is responsible for specific mRNA codon recognition, and the 3' end, to which the tRNAs corresponding amino acid is attached (by aminoacyl-tRNA synthetases). tRNAs cope with the degeneracy of the genetic code in two manners: having more than one tRNA (with a specific anti-codon) for a particular amino acid; and 'wobble' base-pairing, i.e. permitting non-standard base-pairing at the 3rd anti-codon position. Lineage: Eukaryota; Metazoa; Chordata; Mammalia; Artiodactyla; Bovidae. RNAcentral also lists the same sequence under 3 other names. The record is from Rfam by way of RNAcentral.